This 363-nucleotide long non-coding RNA is filed under the name Coccomyxa subellipsoidea. RNAcentral describes it as "long non-coding RNA (CSUB_LNC000049)". The record is from RNAcentral. Lineage: Eukaryota; Viridiplantae; Chlorophyta; Trebouxiophyceae; Coccomyxaceae.
UGAUACGUGCUCCCUGUGUGCUUCACGGACCAGGACAGAAUUGGGCCAAAUUUGGUCAGCUUCACCCCAUGCUGCCCAGUCUGCUUCCCAUCCUUGGGCAGCAUCGUUCCUGCAGUCAUUGAGAUAUGCUGGUUCUGAGCUGGAAAAGUCAGAUAAAGAACAAUAAAUAACUAUCCAAACUUCCACUGUGUUAUUUAUUGGCAUGGCAUGGAGAAACGCCUGAUGGAUGGCAUGCUUUGCACAGUCUCUCACCUGACAGGAAGAGCGGCGUUUCAGUGACGCCUUGGAAUUCUAGGGGUUGCAGUUCGCUGUUGUCAUCUAGCACGCUGAAGUCCACCAGCCUGUGCAUAACCACAAUGUCAG